UACGGAGGGUGCAAGCGUUGUUCGGAUUUACUGGGCGUAAAGGGCGUGUAGGCGGUUGGCUAAGUCAGAUGUGAAAGCCCUUGGCUUAACCAAGGAAGAGCAUUUGAAACUAGCUAACUAGAGUACAGGAGAGGAAAGUGGAAUUCCCAGUGUAGAGGUGAAAUUCAUAGAUAUUGGGAGGAACACCGGUAGCGAAGGCGGCUUUCUGGUCUGAUACUGACGCUGAGACGCGAAAGCGUGGGGAGCAAACAGG
RNAcentral lists this ribosomal RNA (253 nucleotides) under uncultured bacterium. Its description in RNAcentral is "partial 16S ribosomal RNA". It matches the Rfam family "Bacterial small subunit ribosomal RNA", at positions 524 to 776 of the family's 1533-position model. The record is from RNAcentral.